UUAUUUUGUACUUUAACCUUAAAUUUAUUUUUUAUAUUUUUAUAAUGUUCAUGUUUUUGAAUGUUUUAUUCAAAUAAUGUAAAAAAUAAAAUAGAUAUUGACAUGGAUUGAACAAAAGAUAUAUAUUAUUUUAUGUUGCAUAAACAAAUUGGCAAAAUAGAGAUGGAAGAUAAAAAUAUGGUCAAAGUAAUAAGAGUCUAUGGUGAAUGCCUAGG
This 215-nucleotide unclassified non-coding RNA is filed under the name Borreliella valaisiana. Its description in RNAcentral is "partial miscellaneous RNA". Lineage: Bacteria; Pseudomonadati; Spirochaetota; Spirochaetia; Spirochaetales; Borreliaceae. The record is from RNAcentral.